CCCAACCUGAACUGGGAAUCCAGGAGGCAAAUUGUAGUCUCUAGGAUAUUGGAAUAACAAGGGUGUCAGCACUUUCCUUCAACCUUCAAGGACAGACUGAGGAUCAGGCAAGGCUUCAAUCACACCAGAAGAUACAAGUAAAGAAAGGCAGGGGCCCAUCCAUAAGAAUUGUAUAGUCGUGGUAAAGGUUAGGGAGACUGGAGAUUGUGGGUCUGCAUGUACUUGGGGCCUAUACUCGGUAACUCAUACUGGACACAGCUCUGAGUAUACUUUCUACUGUAGUUAAGGAUGGCUGGGAUAUGGAUGAAGCUGAACCUGAAGAGUGAAUUCCUCUGUGUUUGAAACCAAAAAGACAGAGAAAUGCAGGAGCAGACAUUGUUCCUGCCUGUGACUAACUUUAUGACUUUAUAAGAGAAAGUGAUCUCAGAGGCGUUACUUACCUCAGUAAAAUGAAGGUAAUAACACUUAAACUACUUCAAACCAGAGUCUCGGAUCAGGAAAAUUUUGCCAUCUCUUCCAGAAAUAAGACACACAACUGUAAGAUUUCAUUGUUUUUCAGUAAGUUAAAUGUUUGCCAAGAAAGAAACUGUUGACUCUUCUAAUGAUGACAGUUAAAAUCUCAUACUCAAAGUAGGAGGAGGAGCAUUUUCAAAUAAAUCUAUAUUUUCAUAGACUCAGGAGUGUCACAGAGAACAGUAAGCUGUGCAUAAAGAUCAUGACAUGAGUUUGGAAGAACAGUAGAAUUUGGAUGGACCCAAAGACAAAGAUAAGAUAUUACUAUGGAGAGACUCCACUCUAAAGCACUAAUGUUGGACUUAAUCACGUGGUAAUUGCUGUUAAACAAGCACUCCUUGAGAGACAACAUCUCUCUUAUGAACAUCCCUUCAGAUGAACAAAACCAUCUCCUCCCCUCUUCUGAGGGAUUUGAAAAACAAAGCUUGCCUGUCUAUCUAAAGCAUAUUCUUCAGCUGUUGAGAAGAUUCAGAUGGA
Molecule: long non-coding RNA, 990 nt
Organism: Leopardus geoffroyi (Geoffroy's cat)
Lineage: Eukaryota; Metazoa; Chordata; Mammalia; Carnivora; Felidae
Exons: 3
Source: RefSeq, a predicted model, not a curated record